GACCGCGAAGGGGGACCUGGCUGCGGCCGUGGGAGGGGGCGCCCGCCGGCGUCUGGGCCGGGCCGCGGGGCCGCGUGGGCUCGGGCGGCCGGGCCAGGGCUCGCGGGGUGGGGCGGGCUCCGAGUCUCGGCCUCUGGGGUCGGGAGUCUCCACGGGCGUUUCCGGGGUCUCCGCAGAUGUGAAUCCGAUGGAGCGGCCCGAGGAAGGCAAGCAGCCGCCGCCGCCGCAGCCCUGGGGACGGCUCCUGCGCCUGGGCGCCGAGGAGGGCGAGCCGCACGUCCUCCUGAGGAAGCGGGAGUGGACCAUCGGGCGGAGACGAGGUUGCGACCUUUCGUUCCCUGGCAAUAAACUGGUCUCUGGAGAUCACUGUAAAAUUGUAGUGGAUGAAAAAUCAGGUCAGGUGACACUGGAAGAUACCAGCACCAACGGAACAGUGAUUAACAAGCUGAAAGUUGUGAAGAAGCAGACGUGCCCUUUACAGAGUGGCGAUAUCAUCUACCUGGUGUACAGGAAGAAUGAACCGGAACACAACGUGGCAUACCUCUAUGAAUCUUUAAAUGAAAAGCAAGGCAUGACACAAGAAUCCUUUGAAGCUAACAAGGAAAAUGUGUUCCAUGGGACCAAAGAUGCCUCAGGUGCAGGUGUAGGUGCAGGGCCAGGGGCCGAUCCCCGGCUCCCUCCGUUGUCGCCCACCGCUCAGGUGUGCUUUGAGGAACCACAGCCAUCGACGUCCACGUCAGACCUCUUCCCCACAGCCUUGGCCUCUUCCACGGAGCCGCCUCCUGCAGGGCGAGAGCAUUCCUCCAGUUGCGAGUCUGGGGGUGGUGGCAUCUCCCCUAAAGGAUGUGGUCCCUCCGUGGCAAGUGAUAAAAUCUCCAGCUUUGCCUCAGCUCGCCCAGACAGAAAGCCUGCAUCCUUUUCGUCAUUGGAACCCCAGGAUCAGGAGGAUUUGGAGCCUGUGAAGAAGAAAAUGAAAGGAGACGGGGACCUUGACCUGAACCUGCAGUUGUUGGUCGCACAACCGCGUGGAAACGCCCAAACCGUCCAGGAGGACGUCAGAGCAGCGACUGGGAAGCCAGACAAGAUGGAGGAGACGCUGACAUGCAUCAUCUGCCAGGACCUGCUACACGACUGCGUGAGUUUGCAGCCCUGCAUGCACACGUUCUGCGCGGCUUGCUACUCGGGCUGGAUGGAGCGCUCGUCCCUGUGCCCCACCUGCCGCUGUCCUGUGGAGCGUAUCUGUAAAAACCACAUCCUCAACAACCUCGUGGAAGCGUACCUCACCCAGCACCCAGACAAGAGUCGCAGUGAAGAAGAUGUGCAAAGUAUGGAUGCCAGGAAUAAAAUCACUCAAGACAUGCUGCAGCCCAAAGUUAGGCGGUCUUUUUCUGAUGAAGAAGGGAGUUCAGAGGACCUGCUGGAGCUGUCAGACGUUGACAGUGAGUCCUCGGACAUUAGCCAGCCAUACGUUGUGUGCCGGCAGUGUCCUGAGUACAGAAGGCAGGUGGCGCAGCCUCCCCACUGCCCAGCAUCCGAGGGUGAGCCAGGAGCCCCGCAGGCCCUGGGGGAUGUACCCUCCACGUCCGUCAGCCUCAUGACAGCAGUCCAGGAUUACGUGUGCCCUCUGCAAGGAAGCCACGCCCUGUGCACCUGCUGCUUCCAGCCCAUGCCCGACCGGAGAGCGGAGCGCGAGCAGGACCCACGUGUCGCCCCUCAGCAGUGUGCCGUCUGCCUGCAGCCUUUCUGCCAUCUGUACUGGGGCUGCACCCGCACCGGCUGCUUCGGCUGCCUGGCCCCGUUCUGUGAGCUCAACCUGGGUGACAAGUGUCUGGACGGCGUGCUGAACAAUAACAGCUACGAGUCGGACAUCCUGAAGAAUUACCUGGCAACCAGAGGUCUGACGUGGAAAAACAUGUUGACCGAGAGCCUCGUGGCUCUCCAGCGAGGAGUGUUCCUGCUGUCUGAUUACAGGGUCACAGGGAACACCGUGCUGUGUUACUGCUGUGGCCUGCGCAGCUUCCGGGAGCUGACUUACCAGUAUCGGCGGAACAUUCCUGCUUCCGAGUUGCCAGUGGCUGUAACAUCCCGUCCUGACUGCUACUGGGGCCGUAACUGCCGCACUCAGGUGAAAGCUCACCACGCCAUGUGAGUGCAGCUGGGGGCACAGGCGUCAGCUGCAGGGUGAUAAACGAGUUCACCGCCUGCUUACAAAUACGCUGAUAUGGAAAUUCAAUCACAUCUGUGAACAGACAAGGUUCAAAAACUAAGCAUCCAGAGGCCCCGAGCAGCUUUCAGCACUGAAGGGGAAGAGAGCGUGUUUUUAAAAUACAGAGACAAACAUGUCAGGGCGUUUUCACAGCCCCCUGAGGGACGCAGGGUCUCCGGCAGGUGCUCUGGGGUGACUCUUCUGUGGAGCUUUACCCUCUGAGUGAGACCCUCCCCAGAGCCCUGGGGGCCACAACCCGCCCUCCUGGCGAGUGCUGGGUGGGGCUCGUGGUGGCGUGAGCAGCAGAGACGAAGCCUUUCCGUGACACGCAGCCGUCCCGCCCAGAGGGGCAGGUUUGCUCUUUUGUAUGUUUUCCGUAACCACAGGUAAAGCAGCAGUCUGUUUUCAGGACGAGUUUCAAGGGAGAAAGGGGACAGUUUAUCAAAAACAUUGUUUCAGGAGAAGGGAGCAUAAGUUUACAGCCUACAGGAUGUACACAAUAUUCUGCUGUUGGGAAAACCACAGCAUUUUAUAUAUUUUUUAUUUUAAUAGGUUUGGUGCUUAUCUUCUAAUAAGAUUUAAAUAUCACAAACUGUAGCACAAAUAAUAUAAUUUAUAAUUUACAAAUUGACUAAAAUUGGGUAUAGUAUGGUAUUUGAAAGAAUAAGCAUAUGCUUCUGUUUAUUGAAAAAAAACUUCCAGUGUCCAAAACUGCUAACCCUCGACGUGGCCGUCAAGUUAGUCGCUCCUUGCUAACCUGUGGGUGACCACGGCCCCAAGCCUGGAGCUGGACGCAGGGCCCAGGACGCUCCACUCCCUUCACGGCCCCGAGCCCGGGGCUGGACGCAGGGCCCAGGUCGCGCCGCUCCCUUCACGGCCCCGAGCCCGGGGCUGGACGCAGGGCCCAGGUCGCGCCGCUCCCUUCACGGCCCCGAGCCCGGGGCUGGACGCUGGUCCCAGGACGCGCCGCUCCCUUCACGGCCCCGAGCCCGGGGCUGGACGCAGGGCCCAGGACGCGCGGCUCCCUCAUGCUGCCCGGGCCCUUCCUCCAAGACCCUACAGAGCCUGAGGGGCACCUUGGCUUCCGCCUGUGCUAGGUUUGCCAUGUCAGCUGGAAUAAUACUUGAAAUUUUGAUUUUUGGAAAAAAAAGUUUUUUAUAUUUUGUUGAAAUCACCUGUUAUCCUUGUUUGCAAACUGGUAACUUUUUUGCUUCUCAGGAAUACAGUUUUCAGCUGUUGACUUGCUCUUGAUAGGAACUGAGAAGCAGCACUGUCUCUGCGUUUGUGGAGGAAAGCCCUCUCUUUUGCAUAUUCUAAUAAAUGAGCCGCCUUCGCUCCUCC
Molecule: RNA transcript, 3547 nt
Organism: Cercocebus atys (sooty mangabey)
Lineage: Eukaryota; Metazoa; Chordata; Mammalia; Primates; Cercopithecidae
Gene: CHFR
Gene name: checkpoint with forkhead and ring finger domains, E3 ubiquitin protein ligase
Exons: 17
Source: RefSeq, a predicted model, not a curated record